AAAAAGCAAAUCCUAAAUUUUUAUGUCCAACUUUGACUGUCCGUCUUAUAUGAAAAUUUUUUAUAAUUCGUAUUUUCAUUAUUGUUAGAUGAUAAAACAUGAUUAAUAUUUUAUGCGUGACUUGUCUUUUUAUUUUUUUCAUAAUUUUUUUAAAUAAGACGGACGGUCAAACGUUGGACACGGAAACC
This 188-nucleotide microRNA precursor is filed under the name Oryza glumipatula. RNAcentral's name for it is "MIR812 microRNA precursor family". It matches the Rfam family "MIR812 microRNA precursor family". Lineage: Eukaryota; Viridiplantae; Streptophyta; Magnoliopsida; Poales; Poaceae. The record is from Rfam by way of RNAcentral.